CAUGUAAAACUUUUCAAAUUUCUCGAUCAGUCUGAUGUAAUUGAGGCGGAGUUAACUCCGUUUGUUCUUCCUACUCCGUGCGCGCUCCCGAUGAGGGGAUGACUAUUUCGCAGGUAGAACUGCCUGUGCGCCACACCUAUGCGGAUCAGCUCCACCUACUUCCUCCUAGAAGUCGUUGAAGUUUAACUCACUGAGCUUCAAAUAAUGGCUGCUGCUCUAACGCUCCUCCUCAUCAGGAUUCUGCUGAUCUUCAACUCCUGCCUGGUUGUUUUUGCAGGUAGGUAAAAACUUUGAUAAUUACUU
This is a long non-coding RNA of Cyprinodon variegatus (sheepshead minnow), 303 nucleotides long. RefSeq lists it as uncharacterized. Lineage: Eukaryota; Metazoa; Chordata; Actinopteri; Cyprinodontiformes; Cyprinodontidae. The transcript is spliced from 3 exons. The record is from RefSeq and is a predicted model, not a curated record.